RNAcentral lists this transfer RNA (76 nucleotides) under Chloroflexota bacterium. Its description in RNAcentral is "Chloroflexi bacterium tRNA-Glu". It matches the Rfam family "tRNA". Rfam says of the family: Transfer RNA (tRNA) molecules are approximately 80 nucleotides in length. Their secondary structure includes four short double-helical elements and three loops (D, anti-codon, and T loops). Lineage: Bacteria; Bacillati; Chloroflexota. The record is from RNAcentral.
GCCCCCAUCGUCUAGUGGCCCAGGACGGGGCCCUCUCAAGGCCCAAACAGCGGUUCGAGUCCGCUUGGGGGCACCU